GUGCCAGCAGCCGCGGUAAUACAGAGGGUGCGAGCGUUAAUCGGAAUUACUGGGCGUAAAGCGCACGUAGGUGGUUUUGUAAGUCGGAUGUGAAAUCCCCGGGCUCAACCCGGGAACUGCAUUCGAGACUGCAUUACUCGAGUAUGGGAGAGGGAAGCGGAAUUUCCGGUGUAGCGGUGAAAUGCGUAGAUAUCGGAAGGAACAUCAGUGGCGAAAGCGGCUUCCUGGCCCAAUACUGACACUCAUGUGCGAAAGCGUGGGGAGCAAACAGGAUUAGAUACCCCGGUAGUCC
RNAcentral lists this ribosomal RNA (292 nucleotides) under uncultured bacterium. RNAcentral describes it as "partial 16S ribosomal RNA". It matches the Rfam family "Bacterial small subunit ribosomal RNA", at positions 505 to 796 of the family's 1533-position model. The record is from RNAcentral.